CCUACGGGUGGCAGCAGUGAGGAAUAUUGGUCAAUGGACGAGAGUCUGAACCAGCCAAGUAGCGUGAAGGAUGACUGCCCUAUGGGUUUUAAACUUCUUUUAUAAAGGAAUAAAACUAGUCACGUGUGCCUUUUUGCAUGUACUUUAUGAAUAAGGAUCGGCUAACUCCGUGCCAGCAGCCGCGGUAAUACGGAGGAUCCGAGCGUUAUCCGGAUUUAUUGGGUUUAAAGGGAGCGUAGAUGGGUUGUUAAGUCAGUUGUGAAAGUUUGCGGCUCAACCGUAAAAUUGCAAUUGAUACUGGCAGUCUUGAGUACAGUUGAGGUAGGCGGAAUUCGUGGUGUAGCGGUGAAAUGCGUAGAUAUCACGAAGAACACCGAUUGCGAAGGCAGCUUACUAAACUGUGACUGACAUUGAUGCUCGAAAGUGUGGGUAGCAAACAGGAUUAGAUACCCGUGUAGUC
This 460-nucleotide ribosomal RNA is filed under the name uncultured bacterium. Its description in RNAcentral is "partial 16S ribosomal RNA". It matches the Rfam family "Bacterial small subunit ribosomal RNA", at positions 338 to 795 of the family's 1533-position model. The record is from RNAcentral.